CACGUAGGGUGCGAGCGUUGUCCGGAAUUAUUGGGCGUAAAGAGCUCGUAGGCGGUGUGUCGCGUCGGCUGUGAAAACCCGGAGCUCAACUCCGGGCCUGCAGUCGAUACGGGCGGACUGGAGUGUUGCAGGGGAGACUGGAAUUCCUGGUGUAGCGGUGAAAUGCGCAGAUAUCAGGAGGAACACCGGUGGCGAAGGCGGGUCUCUGGGCAACUACUGACGCUGAGGAGCGAAAGCGUGGGGAGCGAACAGG
Molecule: ribosomal RNA, 253 nt
Filed under: uncultured bacterium
Lineage: Bacteria
Description: partial 16S ribosomal RNA
Rfam family: Bacterial small subunit ribosomal RNA
Source: RNAcentral